This 478-nucleotide ribosomal RNA is filed under the name uncultured bacterium. RNAcentral's name for it is "partial 16S ribosomal RNA". It matches the Rfam family "Bacterial small subunit ribosomal RNA", at positions 28 to 523 of the family's 1533-position model. The record is from RNAcentral.
AAUGAACGUUGGCGGCGUGGAUUAGGCAUGCAAGUCGUGCGCGAACUGUAGCAAUACAGGGAGAGCGGCGAGAGGGAGAGUAAUACAUAGGUACCUACCCCCGGGCCUGGGAUAGCGGCGGGAAGCUGCCGGUAAUACCAGAUAACGUCCCCGGACCAAAGAUGUGACUUCACCUGGGGAGGGGCCUAUGGCCUAUCAGCUUGUUGGCAGGGUAACGGCCUACCAAGGCAAAGACGGGUAUGGGGCGUGAGAGCGUGCCCCCACUCACUGGGACUGGGACACUGCCCAGACACCGACGGGUGGCUGCAGUCGAGAAUCUUCGGCAAUGGGCGCAAGCCUGACCGAGCGACGCCGCGUGCGGGAUGAAGGCCUUCGGGUUGUAAACCGCUGUCGUAGGGGAGGAAGGGCCUGUGAAGAACAGGACUUGACCGAUCCUAGGAGGAAGGGCCGGCUAAUCUCGUGCCAGCCGCCGCCGUAA